Molecule: RNA transcript, 10992 nt
Organism: Colius striatus (speckled mousebird)
Lineage: Eukaryota; Metazoa; Chordata; Aves; Coliiformes; Coliidae
Gene: ACKR3
Gene name: atypical chemokine receptor 3
Exons: 6
Source: RefSeq, a predicted model, not a curated record
AGCGCUCACUCGUUUUGGUGGCGCUCGGAUUUCGGGACGUGGGAGGCACAGGAGGAAGAAAAACUCGAAGAAGAAGAAAUCCCAAAGCCACCUUCUCUCAUGUGUUUGGUGCUGGAGCAAACAGAUCCAUCCCAGCUGAGAGUCAUUCCUUUGGGCCCCUUCAUGCACAAGCAGUGAUGCUCUGCAAAAGCCAUUUUGUAGCCGCACUGACAUGAGAACAUGUGUGUUUGAAGCCAGCUCACUCCUUGAUGCACUGAUGGUCUUACUCUCCGCAGCACUCCCACAACCAAGGAAUUGUCCCUUUUUCCGGGGAAGCUCUUUGUAUAGAAAUCUCUGGUGCUGAUGCCCAGCUGCUCUUCUCCAGCUGCUCUUCUACCUCAUCAAUCUGUGGCCAUGCAAGAGGACUCGGCACUGAUGGCACCUUCUAAUGCAAAUAUUCACAACUUGUUGGUAUUUAUGAUUGUCUUCUUGAAAGAUCCUAUUCAAGUCCUUCAAAAAGCAGGGAGGAAGAAAGGUUUCUGGUUUAAAUUGGAGCCUCAGAGUGGCAGCUUUUCACCAGAAGAUGUGACAAUCUUUUUCCAGCAGAGGAACUUGAUGAGUAUUUCCAUAUAAAGAAGAUGGCCUAAAAGAGAGAGUUUAUCUUUGGAAGGAGAAUGGUUUCCAUUUUCCAGGAUGCCCUGAGAUGAUGCCAUGCACUCAACAACAGAAAUGCCGGCUUGCAGAAAUGCUGGUGGACAGACAUGAAGGCAGGCCAAGUGAUGCUUUUCCUACUGAAGCAUCUACAUUGCUGUUCAUCUGAACACAGGAAAUCAAACCUUAUCCCUGCCAAGCAGCUUUAAUACUGUUUCAUCAAUCCAUACUACAAACAAUGAACAUGGUGGCAUUGCGAGGCGUAGCUUAGACAGGUUCAUUUACGAAAAUCUAAAGCCAGAGAGAAGAAAGCAGCAUAGCUGUCAAGACACUCCAAUUCCUGUUUGUACAACAACAAGAGCCAAGACUAUGGCUUGAACAAUGGAUUAACUAAUGUGUCACAGACACAGAAAGCCAUGGAAAAAUGAAGGAGGAAGAGGUUUCCCUCCCACCUUAAAUGCAUCUGAUGUGGGGCUGUUGGGCAAGGCAAAAGAGAGACAGAAGUCACUUCAAUGAGUAAGGCUUCAUAAAAAUGAGAAGCUUCUAGGAAGGCUCAAGGAGGGAAGAGAUGGAGGAAUGCUUGUCCUCAGCCUCAGCUGCUUUUGGGAGUCAUUGGUCCAUGCAGUCAGUAGGUCAAGCCAAGUUCAGCAAUUAAUACCUGAACUCUCCCCAAAGUGACUCCUUGUUCCUCUAUAUGCACUGGCUUACGAUAGCAAUUUCAAUUUGGUUUUAUAGUUACUUUGCACUGUGGAAACAUGCCUGAACGAACGGCCAAAGUGCAGAAGUUAAGGUGUUUCUGGAGGAGGGGUGUCUCUGACUCAUCUUGAUAAUCACUGAAUCCCAAGAGAUGUGCUUAGUUUUUGAGGGUCCUUCUGCUUUUGGCCCCCAGGUAAAGAUAACACUCAAAUCCAUCCCUGUUCCUGGCCUGUCAGCCAGCAUUGCGGCUGCAUUUCAUCUUGCUGAGACCAGAUGCAGUGGUGGGGGCAAGUCUAAAAACCAGGGCACCGCUAUGACUUAAGCUUGGGCUCAGCAUUCUUGCAGCCACAAAGCUGAAGUUCAAAGGUCCCUUUCUUUGUUUGGUGUAUGCUGUGGUAAUUUGUCAAGUUUUAUCUAUUUCUGCUGUAGCUGCAGAGUAUGUAAAAUACCCCUGGCUUUGGUUGAAAAAGCAACAAAAGCAGGAGGCCACAGCAUUUUUCAUGUAAAUGUUUGUUCUGGGCAUAAUUGUCUCACAAACCCAACCAAAGGCACUUAAAUUGGUUUAAAAAGGUUGGCAGUUAUAUGGCUUUGACAGCUUCAGCCAUACCCAGCUUGUUCUGGCAUUCAUGAGCUCCUUACAUGGAUUUUUGCUGUCAAAAGGAGCUUUUUUUUUUUUUCAUUGCUUAACAUCAGUUAAUAGGCACUUAACAUGAAGCAACUUCCUUUUUAUGUUCCUAUUCAGUCUCUCCUGAUCAAUGUGGGAUGAGAUCACCUGAAUUUUAUUUGGGAUGUCAAAAGAAAAAUUGGCAACAUCUACCUAAGGCUGUUUUUUCCCCCCCUUCUCCUUUGAACAGGAUGGGAUUUCUACAGAACAAUUAACAUUCAUUUGCUAAGUGGUUUCUCAAGUAUGUUUAUGAGAAAUGCAAAUACCCCGGGACUAUGUUGGAUUUGUUUUCUACCCCUCACCUCACUUUAGCCUCUGAUACUGCUGGUUUUAUGUACAAGACUCAGCUCACCAGAAGGUAUUUCGUGUCUAAAGCUGAAUGUAUCUGUAAACCUCUUGAACAUGGAGACGCUUAGAUGCAAGAGUGAAAAUGCUGUUGUAUCACAGCUUAAAAAUAGAGGCUGUUUAGACUUCUAAAGGUGUUGUGCAAGAGAAUUUCAAUUGGAGGUGAGUGAGCUUGAGUGAGUGAGCUGUCCCAGUGGAUAAAGUGGGUCUCUGAUGUCAGCCUUCCGUUAAGAUAACCCGUGGAAGCUGAUGCCUCCAGGACUGUAUUGUUUCACGUCAAACCGUCUGCUGCAGAGCAAAGGCGAUAGCAAGCGUGUUGAUUUAUGAAGUGGUGGCUGAGUUCCCAACCAGAGGCAGCAGACACAUUUUGCAUUUGAAAUAUGACACUCGGAGGCAUGCUGUCUGCCUGUGGUCCGACUGUGUGCUGGGUUUCUCAAGCCUGGUGAAAGUCAUCCACCGAUCCGGAGAUAUCAAAUGGAUUUCUCUGGCCUCUCUCCAGCUGCCUGGUUUUCACCUAACUUGCAGGCAUAGAGUGGCAACAAGACCUUGUAUUGAGUUUUGUAUGAAGUUGGCCACUACAUUCAGUAACAGUUAAGGGAGAACAGGCAAAUGCACAUAUGUUUUCCCUAGGAAAUGAAGCUAAAUGGAGUUACUCCUUCCUAACCACUUACAGGACUUCAAAGAGCAAGCCCAAGGUUGGCAAAGAAUGAUGAGAAGGGAUAAAUUUAGUGGGAUAGGACAAGCCAACCUGAAGACUCCCUCCCACAACACAAAUAUAACCCCUUGAGGGCAUUCACUUGGAAAGUCUGCUUAAUUGCAGCCUAAUUGCUGCUCUGGAUGCAGUUCUCAUGCCUUUUGAAGAUGCCUUGAGACUGGCCAGUUGAAAACUGCUCUUAAACAUGUUUUUUUUAAGAUAUUAGGCCAAGACAAAGGAAAUGUGCCAGUGAGUCAUGAUUGGAGCCUAUCAAAAUGCAGGGAUGAAGGAAUGCAUAUCUUGUUUCCUCAAGUGAGAAGAAUUAACUGCAUGUGAACAAGGGUAUUGUGAGUCCUGGAAAUAGCCAUGAAGACAGCAGCAACAGGAACACACACAAAUACAAUUUAACCCUUCUCCUUUUAUGCUUCAUACUUCAGGCCAAAGGAACUUCUGCUGCAGGAGUCAGCAAGUCAGAGGUGUGGUUUCGAGGUGGUUUUAGGAAUGACCUUUCAUUACACAAAAAAAUGUUUUAAAAUUAAAUAUUAGAAUAUUAUGCAGAAAUUGGGACUUAAUGUAGAAUUUUAAAGGAAAUGAAAAACUCAUCCAAAGGACCUGGAAGAAAUGAUAGCUAAUAAAAUUAUGGUGGAUAACUGCUUUAGGAAACCAGUGCAUUCAAGGGGAACACAGAGGAGGUGGUCAAAAGCUUCUUUGGUCUAUAUCUGACUACCUAGCUCCUGGAGAAAGAGAUUCAAUGGGGUGGAAUGGCCAGGGUUGCUGAAUGGCAGGGGCAAGUGGAUCCAACCACACCAUACAAAGCCCCAGGCCAGAGCUGAGGACAUACCAGCUACUACCUGUGAGGCAGCGGCUCAGGCUCCAGGGUUGGUACAUUAAUAAAAUCACCCUUGUUCAAGGUUAUGGUACGAGUUGAUUGCUUCUAAUUAGGGAUUUGUAUUCAGUUGUGACAUCCUGCAAUUUUUAUUACCUUUAUGGUAAUAACUGCAAAUAAUAAAAUGACAAACUAUUGUAAUUAAACUUGAAUUAAUUACAAAUUCAUUACUUUUAAGUUUAUUCAUGGUAGGACCAAUGACACUGAAAACAAUUAAUUAAAGCACUUGAUAUGUAAAUUGUGAAGUAAAGCAUUAAUAUCAGGCAGCUCAUGUAUUCACUUUCUGCAUAGCAGCAGAGAGUUUGUUUAACGAAAGGCAGCUCCCCUGAAUGAUUUUAACUGCUUAUUUUAGGGGGCAGAGAAAUUCCAGAUACUCUCAAGCUGAAAUUAAUUCCAAAGUCAGGUUCUGCAUCCUCUAAAGCAAAAUGCUAAGCAAGCUAAAAAAGAGAGCUCACUGCCCAGGAUGGCUACUGUGCAUGGUUAAUCACUUCAACAGCACAGAGAGAUGUGCCAAGCCUGUAGAGAGGUGGGGAGGAGGACAGUUCUCUUCUCCGGGUCCACAUGUUUUACUUCUGAUGGGUGGCCCUACAUACGCAGAGCUCAUGGAGAGGGUCAGCAGCGCUCUUGUAACCCCAGACAAGCAACAUGCCCUUUGCUUCAGCUAUAAAUGCCUUCCCCAAACCCAGUAACUUUCUAUCCUGCUGACUUGGUGCUUCUCUGGCAGGGCAGCAAACCUCGUAUUCUGGCUCUCUAAACUGAAAUAAUCUCAUCUGUGAUAGUCUAUUUGUCUUCAGCUUUUGCUGACUUAAUUCAAUGUGACAAACUGAGCUGGGAUCUGCUUGCCCCAGAUAACCUGAGCACAGAUCGCUACAUGUCACUGCAAUGAAAAACGGUCCAUGUUUGGUAUAAGAUUCUCCUUGUGCACCUGUAUCGUGACAUUCACUCUCACAAAGCCUUGUCCUUAGCCCUAGAGGAGCAUCUUCUGCAGGAGAAGUGCCUGGUGCAACCUCUUCUUGUCAGCUUCUUGUCUCCAGGCAAUGAGCCAUUGCUGUUGGAUCAGGCUCUGUGUUGCAGUCAAAUGACACAUAGAUAUUUUAUUUUUCUUCUCUGCUCAGCGACAAUCAGCUGCAGUCUCAACAUGGAAAAGCCAAAGGGUUGAAAAAUGCACAGAAGAAUGCUGAGACGGGCAGCCUUGGAAGGCGCAGGCUGCUCAGUGCGAGCUGUGACACAGGAAUGUGUCUCUGCUCAGAGCAUCCUUCUCUGACAGAGCUUUAUUUCCCCAGUUCUCACACUCAGCAGCUUUGACUGCCUUGUUCCAACAGCCUGCGACACAUCUGCCUGGUGAAGGUCAGCUUUUUGUUUUUGUCCCUCUAAUGUUUUUUUCAGGUGGAGGCAUCAGUAUCAUGUUGGGGAGCACAAAACAUUUGCCUUCUGCUAAAGAGAGCUGCCAUUUUACCACAGCACCCUCUGUGCUCCCAGUUGUGUGCAGCCCACGUACAAUUCUAUCUCACUUUUGCAAGCCAGUGAAAGAAGCAGCUUUUCUGUCAAGGGGGAAGGCACAGAUGAAGGCGAGACGUGAUCAGACAGAAAGGCACCUCCAGCUCGGACAAGGAGUGCCUAAAGCGGGGAGGCACACCCAAGGUUAAUAACAUGUUGCUCCACCAGCUUCUGUCUAAUCUUGGAAAAUGUCCUCUGCUGCAAAGAAAAAUGGGAAAGUGAUUAUGUGACUUGAAAUAAGGUCUUGCUCUACUGUCUAGACAGCUUUAAAAAACAUCAAGCUAGGGUGUUCCUAUUUAUGAAAAAUGCAGCUGUACUUCUGCCUUCCUUGAGAGAGAGAAGAAAGCGGUGCACUUGAGGUCAUGUGGCUGCAAUGUGCUCACUGAGCCUGUCCAUGAGAAUUUAUUCCUCUCUUUUUCUUUCUUCACUUCCUUUAUUCCUUGGGAUAAAUGGCUUGUGCUUCCAACCUGCCAUGUCCAGCACUGUCUGUGCUGGGACUGCCUGAUGUGGGAGCAUCCCUGAUGCUGGGUGAUGACACAGGCUUCGUUACCAUAAUACUGCCCACAGCAAAAUCGCAGGCAAUCUCCAGCUCCUUAAUAGAGUCUCUUAUAGACUCUCUCUUAAAUCUGAAAAAUUUAAUUUGCCAUAAAUGCAGCCUCAGCAAUUCCCUUUUUUGUUGUUGUUGUUUUGGGUUGGAUUUUUUGUUUGCUUGUUUGUUUUCCAUAGUAAAUUAUGUGCAUGGGGUUUGACUUCUUUUUUUUUUUUUUCCUGGUGGGAUCUUGGCAGAUGGAAACUGAUGCCCAAAUUGGCUGACCAGGAUUUUCAGCAGUGCCUAGCACCAGCCGGAGCUUCAAUGCUCGGCAUCCUCUGCUAAUGGGGCCCAGCAUCACAUCACUGCUAAGGUUCAACCCUGAAUGGACUGAAAAACCCCCACACUAUUGAUCAGGGAGUUCUGCCCUACAAAAGAGAGAAAUGGGUCAGCAGAUAUGUUAAUCCCAGCUUGAUCUAAAGUCUUCAGGACAGGUGGCAACCUUCAUUUAAUGGAACAAUGAGAUCAUUAGGAAUUCGUAAUGAACUGUACUGCAGCCAUGAAAGUAGGUCACCCUUACCCGAGGAACACUUCAAAAUGAGUCUGUUCCCAUUCAUGUGCAGCAGCAGAGAUGGCCAGGGGCAGACUGACAGCUCUAUCUCGGGAUUUGCUAAACAAUUUUAGGAACAAAAGAGGACAAAUGCUACAGACGUAAAAUGAGUUAUAUUUUCCCAAGUAAAAAGAUGACAUACAAAGCAGUUUUAGGUUUCAAGUCUCACUGGCCACAGGCCCUGCUGUCCUGGACGAGCUAGGAGGAUGGUCAGUUUGGGAAGAACCAGAGUCCCAGGCCAAGUAUGGUAACCAGGAGGAAAAUGGAAUAGAUCCUACCUUAGUCCCCAAAUAAAGCUCUAUCCACCUCUGCCCAUCACAUAAAGAACCAUAUUUCCACAUCCUGAGAGCCUCCUCACUGCAGGAGAGAGGUCUCUCCUCACUACAGCUCUCUCCAUCUGUACAAGACAUAGGCACUUCAUCAUUGAGCUUGAGUCUUUCAGAUGCUUUCUCCAUUGCCUUCAGAGGUGAAGUCUGAGUGCUUCUGUGUCAGGAUACCUGUGCAGCUAGCCCAGACUCAAGGGAAAAAGAAAUCACCCUGUGGCUCUUUUGUUGUGAUGUCCAGUCCACUCUCUAUGCAGAGAUAGCUGGUAACUGACAGAGUUAAAGAGAGGUCUCCCAUGCCCAGGACAUCCAGAGCAGGUCUUCAGUCCUGCCCAAAGUCUCAGCCCUUUCAAGUCAUAUAUGCUGCGUGUCAGUAAACCAUCUGUGAACUUUUUACUCCUCCCAUUGAUGGCCGUGUAUGAAAACCAAGUGCUUAUAAUAGAACUACUUUUUGAAGUAGGUACUACUUUUCGAAAGGUACUGUUAUUUGAAAAGUUUCUUUUCUUCACACCAGACCCUGAUAUUCCUCCAGUGCUGUGUAAGUUUAUUAAUCCCCGAGCAAGCAGUCUGCUGCCCUGCAGCAAAGGAACAGGCAGGCUGGUGUAUGGGGAGGUUUGCUUGGCUAGUGAAAGCCCCAGGGAUAAGGAUAGGAAAAGUCAAGAAAAGAUUUUGCUAAAGAUGCAAUAAGCAGUAGUGGGGUUUGGAGGGCUUAUUUUUUCUUUUUUAAAGAGGUAGUCAAAGCAAUUUGUAAAUAUUUAUGCACAAUAACCUGUGCUAAAAUAACUCUUGGGGUCUCAUUUGAACUCCUGCAGCAAACUGAGGUGGCACACAGUCCCCAUACAGACUUUGCGUUGCCACCAAGGAUCAUAGAAUCAUAGAGACAUUUUAGUUGGAAAAGACCUUUAAGAUCAUCAAGUCCAACCACUAACCUAUGUUGCACUGCAUUUCCAGGAACAUGGCCUUUGUCCAUGUUAGCUGCAGCUUUUGCCAUUGCACACCCAUGGCUGUGUGAUGCCAGGUGGUGGCAGGUGCUUGAAUGAUCAGCCUCCCUCAGCUCUGCCCAGCAUGCCUGGGGCAGCUAGUGGGCUGCUCAACCAGACCUGCCCAACUCACUGGUGCUUCCAAGCAUGGAUAUUCAGGCAGGGCUCUGUGCAAUGUGAUGGGACACCCUGAAAACACAGCAAAACUCCCUCUUUUCUGUGCACACUAGCACCACCAGCUCACACUUGGCCCCAGAACAGAGCAGGGAGAUGAGCUGGCAGGCACAUGUGAUAGUAAGCAUUGCUUUCAUGGGAGAGGGGAGCUAACAAUCUUCACACUCCCUCUAAUUAAAGAAAGUGAAGACCAGUUUGUCUCCUAAUUAUUUUUUUCAGAUUCCCCAUUUCCCUUCCAUCUUGUCAGUACCUGAGAUAUUAGACCCACAAAUUUAGCAGAAGGUCCCGUAAUCUUGACAUGCAGCCCCACAAGAGGCUACUUAAAACCCAUGUUGUACCACAGAAGACUGUCAUCACUCCCCAUGAGCACAUCAGGGGGGCAGGGAUGUCAUGAUUGGCCAUUAGGCCAAAAGGGCAAGUUUCCUUUUGUCCCUCUCCACCUGAAAAUGCUCCAUAAACCUUCUCUUCCCUCCUCAGCUGGAGAUGGGUUGUCCAUGUCUUCUGCUUCUGAGCACAGGUGUCUGUGGUGUUUGCCAAUGCACGGAACUUCAGCAGUUAGGAGGAGAGGCUCCUUCCUCUCCACUCCUAGUUUUGCUGUUUUCACUUACAUUUUCAAUGCCUCUCCUCUUCCAUACACAGCUCCAGGCUUGUUUUCCGUAUGUGCUCCAGCAUUAUCUGUUCAUGAGGACUUUCUGCUCACACUCUGCCAGACAGAGUCUGGAGAUCAUUUGCUGGAGGAAUGGGAAAGAAACUAGAAAAUGCUUCAGGUCAUCUCCUCCCCCACAGUCUUUGCAAAAAAUCAGCUCUAGAGGAUGACUUUGUGGAGGGCCACAAAGAUCUGUGAUCCUGGUGGGGCUUGGUGGGGGGAGACUGCUUCUUUGAGAAAGGAAGCAGAGGGGCUGAACCAGUCCACCAGCAGCACACCCUGUCAGGCUCUAGUUGGCUGGCUUUAGGGCAAAAAAGGGGCACUGUCUACUGAAAUGUUCUGUGCAGAUAUAUGGGGAUGAAAAGAAAAAUGAGCUAGGGAACUGAUAAAGAGAGAAGGGUGCAGUUCCCUCCUUUAGAAGGGGCAGAUUUCUUUGUAUUAUUUGGGAAUAGUCAGACUAAAUGGGUUCCCAGUCCAGCCACUGUUCCCUUGCAACUGAGUUACUUAAAAAUACUCUUUUUUUUUUUUUGGGAGAAGGCCAGAGAAGCUUCUGUGUUUUGUGUGCUUGGCUCUGACCAAGGCAGGAAGACUGCCCUGUGAUAAUGCCAGUUCCUCAGCCCCAGUCCUUCCUCUCCACUCUCAUGGUUUUGGGGCGCUUCAGUAGCAGCAGUGGCUGUGGUUCUGCCUGCGCCUGGCCUGCCUCUCUCGCGACAGAUGCUGGCACUGACAGGGACCCCUCCUCCUGCCACGAGGCAUCUGGCUUCGAAAACUUUCCUGUGCUUGAUCUGCUGGUCUGCCCGGGGAUGGACUGGCUCCAAUGGCUGCUGUUCUAUGGUAGCAGAAUCAUAGAAUACUUUGGGUUAGAAGGGACCUUUAAAAGUCAUCUAGUUCAACUGUGAGGUUGAAUCUAAUCAUGAGGCCUGAAACCCUUGCUGGUGCCUCUUGAAGACAUGAAGUGCUCGUAGCUAAAAGCAGUAGAAUGAUGCCAGUGUGCUAUUCUUAACUUUAAAAUGGUAUAUUUAAAAAGGAAUUAAAGCUGGAGGAUAUUUUAAUGAAUAUGCCAAAUAUGCAGCAUUGAUUCCCCGUGUGUUUCUGCUAGAGCCUUCAGGAGCAUCUGUUUUUUGUCCCAUGCUGGUAAUGUAGGCUCACAGUAAUACACCUUACACCUCUUGGGAGUCAAACCGAUCAUGUUGGCCUUGGUUGUGAAUCAGAAGGUUCAAAUCAUAUCCUGCUAAAAACUGCCUGUGUGAUCUUCAGGCAAAAUCUCUUACCUUGCCUUUGCUUUCUCCACCUGGACAGUCAAAUUAUUGUUUCAUUUUCAGUGAGGGCCGAUGAGACACACAGUGGAGGCAAGCUGUUCCACAGCUUUGCAGCUCACAGUGGCCAGAAAGACAAUUAAAAAACCCUAUACAAAGCUUGAGUAAGAUGGCAAGAGUUUUAUAACAGGCAAUGCUAGUAUGUAUAGUGCUAUAGCUACUUCCAAAACACACAUAGAAGAUGGCAGCUCUGCUUAUUUAUCUCAUGAAAUUGACGGGUUCUUCUAAAUGUUGCUGAAGUGUAUUUCCUCUUUGCAUACUCAGAGACUGCGUGAUGCUAUCUUACCUGCUUUUGCAUUCCUGCAGUUCUGUUUCCUCGGUCUCUUUAUAAAGAUAAAAAUUGGCAGCAGACUCCAACAGCUAAUAUGUUGCAGUGGCAGGAGUGAGAAUUCAGGGCUGUGCUUUCUCAUUUCCGUUUGGUUGCCUCAGACUUAGCCAAAGGCCCUGCAACGACUUGGACUCACCUCUCUGACUUGAAAGCACGUUGGGUUAUGCUCAUUUUCCUUGCUCUAAAUGGCUUCCUAUCAUUCAUCUGUCAUUUAUUCUAAUGUUAAUCAUGAAUAAAACCCACCCUUGGUGGGGAAAACUGUAGGAAGUGUUGGCAGAGCUGAAGUUGACAUUCACUGGAGAGAUGGAUGUAGUGGACCAAAUGGGUAGGUGGCCAAGCCAAACUGGAAAUUCCACUGCUUCUUUGCAAGAAAACAAGAGACUUUUCCUUUAAGCGAGUUACUCAAAACUUUCUGUGCAACUUAGAGUAAACCACUUUGCUUUGAUGUUAGGGUUGAUUAGUUCUUUUGAGGUUUAUUUUAAUAGUAUGUCAGUUUGGGAAGAAAAAAAGAGACUUUAGAAUAAAUAACCAAGAGUGUUUCCACUUCCCCAAGAAUGUGUUUCCCUUUAUAGCAAUAAAACUGGUUGACAAUUUCAACUCAAAUGUGUAAAUAUAUUCCAUCCCCAAAGCACACUUUUCCAUUAAAGUUACCAUUUUAUGAAAAUGGCUUGCCU